Centropristis striata (black sea bass) is the source of this 524-nucleotide long non-coding RNA. RefSeq lists it as uncharacterized. Lineage: Eukaryota; Metazoa; Chordata; Actinopteri; Perciformes; Serranidae. The record is from RefSeq and is a predicted model, not a curated record. The transcript has 3 exons.
AGAAGUAAAGGAUAAACUUUUUUUUUUUCAAACUAUUCUCAUUUUGAGGAAGUUACUUUUCUUGCAUGUCCUAACAAAUGUCGCAAUAAUCUGGGCAGGACUGCAGUCACCGCCGAUUCCAGCCCAGUGACACACAGACAUGUCACAACAUGAACCCUGAGCUCCCAAUUCUGUUUCUGGACCAGGUAUCCCAGGAUCGGUUCCUCGACCUCCUGGCUGUUGACCUGCUUACAGCAAGACGCCAGCUUUUCUGCUGAAGACAAAUGGAAACAGAGAGCUGGCUGAACUGACAAAUGUCUGGAGAAAACGGAUAUUUAAGGCUGAAAAAGCAGAAGUGAUCCUCUGGUAAGGCAUCAUCCUUUUUUUUUCUUUGUCCCUCCUCUCGCUUCAUCUGAAUGAAUGACCUGCUCAUACAGGGGUUUCCAUGGAGUGACCAACAGGAAGCACUUUCAUCAUCUUGUUGCAUUCGGAAAAAUAUAUCACGGUUUUCCUGAUUAUCUGAUCACGGGUUUUGAGGAAAUCCU